GAGCUAACUCUAGCCCAAAAACAAACAACCACAACUACAUAUAAACCCAUAAAAUAAAACAUUCACCAGUCUGUAAAGUAUAGGUGAUAGAAAUACAUAUCAGGAGCGAUAGAGACAGUACCGCAAGGGAAAGAUGAAAGAUUAAUUCAAAGCACUAAAAAAGCAAAGAUUACACCUUGUACCUUUUGCAUAAUGAUUUAACUAGAAAAGGCUUAACACAGAGAACUUCGCUAAGCACCCCGAAAUCAGACGAGCUACCUAAAGACAGUUAUUUAUGAACACACUCAUCUAUGUAGCAAAAUAGUGAGAAGAUCUCUAGGUAGAGGUGAAAAGCCUACCGAGCCUGACGAUAGCUGGUUACUCAGAACCGAAUUUCAGUUCCACUUAAAAUUUACCAUAAGAAACAAUACUCCAACAUGUAAAUUUUAAUGCUAGUCUAAAGGGGGACAGCCCUUUAGAUACGGAUACAACCUUGCAUAGAGAGUAAAAUAACCCACACAGCCAUAGUUGGCCUAAAAGCAGCCACCAAUUAAGAAAGCGUUCAAGCUCAACCGUACCAACUUCUAAAUCACAAAAACCGACAUGACCUCCUAUAGCACAAACUGAGUUAAUCUAUUCACAAAUAGAUGAAUUAAUGUUAAUAUUAGUAACAAGAAAAAAUUCUCCAAGCACAAACUUAUAUCAGACCGAAUGAAUCACUGAUAGUUAACAUAUUCAUAGGAAAAAAACAAAAACAAGCCCAACCUAUAAAACGCAAUGUUAACCCAACACAGGAGUGCUAUUAAGGAAAGAUUAAAAGAAGUAAAAGGAACUCGGCAAACAAAAACCCCGCCUGUUUACCAAAAACAUCACCUCUAGCAUUACAACUAUUAGAGGCACCGCCUGCCCAGUGACAAUUGUUAAACGGCCGCGGUAUCCUGACCGUGCAAAGGUAGCAUAAUCACUUGUUCUCUAAAUAGGGACUUGUAUGAACGGCUUGACGAGGGUUUAUCUGUCUCUUACUUCCAAUCAGUGAAAUUGACCUUCCCGUGAAGAGGCGGGAAUAAACCAAUAAGACGAGAAGACCCUAUGGAGCUUUAAUUUUUCAACCACAAUUAUACAAUAACUCCUACCCCUAAUUGGCCCAACCCUAUAAUUUCUGGUUUAAUAAUUUUGGUUGGGGUGACCUCGGAGCACAAAACAACCUCCGAAUGAUUUAAAUCUAGACUAACAAGUCAAAAUAUAGAAAAAAUCAUAAAUUGACCCAUCAAUUGAUCAACGGACCAAGUUACCCUAGGGAUAACAGCGCAAUCCUAUUCUAGAGUCCAUAUCGACAAUAGGGUUUACGACCUCGAUGUUGGAUCAGGACAUCCCAAUGGUGCAACCGCUAUUAAAGGUUCGUUUGUUCAACGAUUAAAGUCCUACGUGAUCUGAGUUCAGACCGGAGCAAUCCAGGUCGGUUUCUAUCUAUUUACAAGUUUCUCCCAGUACGAAAGGACAAGAGAAACAAGGCCUACUGCCCACCAGCGCCUUAAGUCCAAUAGAUACACUUACAUCAAUCUAGUAAACUAUACACUCACCUACCCUAGAACAGGGCUA
RNAcentral lists this ribosomal RNA (1578 nucleotides) under Castor fiber subsp. birulai. Its description in RNAcentral is "Castor fiber birulai 16S ribosomal RNA". It matches the Rfam family "Bacterial large subunit ribosomal RNA", at positions 251 to 2831 of the family's 2925-position model. The record is from RNAcentral. Lineage: Eukaryota; Metazoa; Chordata; Mammalia; Rodentia; Castoridae.